This 497-nucleotide ribosomal RNA is filed under the name uncultured bacterium. Its description in RNAcentral is "partial 16S ribosomal RNA". It matches the Rfam family "Bacterial small subunit ribosomal RNA", at positions 28 to 507 of the family's 1533-position model. The record is from RNAcentral.
GAUGAACGCUGGCGGCGUGCCUAAUACAUGCAAGUCGAGCGAACAGACGAGGAGCUUGCUCCUCUGACGUUAGCGGCGGACGGGUGAGUAACACGUGGAUAACCUACCUAUAAGACUGGGAUAACUUCGGGAAACCGGAGCUAAUACCGGAUAAUAUAUUGAACCGCAUGGUUCAAUAGUGAAAGACGGUUUUGCUGUCACUUAUAGAUGGAUCCGCGCCGCAUUAGCUAGUUGGUAAGGUAACGGCUUACCAAGGCAACGAUGCGUAGCCGACCUGAGAGGGGGAACGGCCACACUGGAACUGAGACAGGGUCCAGACUCCUGCGGGAGGAAGCAGUAGGGAAUCUUCCGCAAUGGGCGAAAGCCUGACGGAGCAACGCCGCGUGAGUGAUGAAGAUCUUCGGAUCGUAAAACUCUGUUAUUAGGGAAGAACAAAUGUGUAAGUAACUAUGCACGUCUUGACGGUACCUAAUCAGAAAGCCACGGCUAACUACGUG